This 496-nucleotide ribosomal RNA is filed under the name Picromerus lewisi. Its description in RNAcentral is "partial 16S ribosomal RNA". It matches the Rfam family "Bacterial large subunit ribosomal RNA", at positions 1923 to 2629 of the family's 2925-position model. The record is from RNAcentral. Lineage: Eukaryota; Metazoa; Arthropoda; Insecta; Hemiptera; Pentatomidae.
UUAAAUAGCCGCAGUAUUUUGACUGUGCGAAGGUAGCAUAAUCAUUUGUCUUUUAAUUGAAGGCUUGUAUGAAUGGUUGGAUGAGGGAAUGACUUUCUUUACAUUAAAUAUUGAAUUUAAUAUUUCAGUUAAAAAGCUGGGAUUUUUAAGUGGGACGAGAAGACCCUAUAGAAUUUUACUUUGAUUGUUAUAAGUAUUAAAUUGUUAAUAUCAAAUACUUACAUAUUAUGGAGUUUUGUUGGGGUGACAAUGGGAUUUAUUUAACUCCCAUAUAUUUUUAUUUAUUAAUUUAUAUAUUAUAGAUCCCGUUUUAAGGAUAGUUAGAUUAAAUUACCUUAGGGAUAACAGCGUAAUUUUUUUGGAGAGUUCAUAUCAAUAGAAAAGUUUGCGACCUCGAUGUUGGAUUAAAAUUAGAUUUAAGUGCAGCAGCUUAAAUUUCUAGGUCUGUUCGACCUUUAAAUUUUUACAUGAUCUGAGUUCAAACCGGAUUAAAUAG